GAGCACGUAGGUGGGUUUGUAAGUCAGGUGUGAAAGCCUUCUGUUCAACGGAAGAAUUGCAUCUGAAACUGCGAGUCUUGAGUGUAGGAGGGGAGAAUGGAACUUCUGGUGGAGCGGUGAAAUGCGUAGAUAUCAGAAGGAACGCCGGCGGCGAAAGCGAUUCUCUGGCCUAUUACUGACACUCAGUGUGCGAAAGCUAGGGGAGCAAACGGGACUAGAUACCCCGGUAGUCCUAGCCGUAAACGAUGGGCACUAAGUAGAGGGG
This 265-nucleotide ribosomal RNA is filed under the name uncultured bacterium. Its description in RNAcentral is "partial 16S ribosomal RNA". It matches the Rfam family "Bacterial small subunit ribosomal RNA", at positions 565 to 828 of the family's 1533-position model. The record is from RNAcentral.